UCACGUUAGUCGGUGUUUCUCCUCCAAUGGGAGCUACUUCGCUCACGUUAGUCGGUGUUUCUCCUCCAAUGGGAGCUACUUCGCUCACGUUAGUCGGUGUUUCUCCUCCAAUGGGAGCUACUUCGCUCACGUUAGUCGGUGUUUCUCCUCCAAUGGCGCUACUUCGCUCACGUUAGUCGGUGUUUCUCCUCCAAUGGGAGCUACUUCGCUCACGUUAGUCGGUGUUUCUCCUCCAAUGGGAGCUACUUCGCUCACGUUAGUCGGUGUUUCUCCUCCAAUGGCGCUACUUCGCUCACGUUAGUCGGUGUUUCUCCUCCAAUGGCGCUUGCCCCUCUCCAUUCUCACAUUGAACGGUUUAGCCAAUGUCGUACCGCCUCAUAAUGGACCGAGCCUAUCAAUGUCCGCGCUCACAAUGGAAAUCGGCCAAUCACCGUGGCGACAUGCGAGCCUAUCAAUGUCCGCGCUCACAAUGGAAAUCGGCCAAUCACCGUGGCGACAUGCGAACCUAUCAAUGUCCGCGCUCACAAUGGAAAUCGGCCAAUCACCGUGGCGACAUGCGAACCUAUCAAUGUCCGCGCUCACAAUGGAAAUCGGCCAAUCACCGUGGCGACAUGCGAACCUAUCAAUGUCCGCGCUCACAAUGGAAAUCGGCCAAUCACCGUGAGCCCUCCCUCUCUCAGACGCCCUCACGCCCCCCACCACCACAAACAAAACAAAUUUCGAAUUUUAUUUUUAAAAAUAAAAACCGUUGGAAGAUUCUGAAAGUCAGAUGUCAGUAGCCUAGCUUCGUUGAAGAAGGAUUCGUCAUCACAUCAUUGAUCUCUCGACCUAAAGGAUCUUGCUGUGAGUACCCAUUAAUAUUGUUUAUUGUCUGUUGUCGUUCAAACAGAUUUCGUAUUUAUAAUUGUACAUCAGCUAAAAUAAUAUAUUGUGGGUUAAAUAAAAGGGCGACAUAAUGAUGUCAUGUUCUGAGUGCAAGAGUAAGGACACAUUUUAUUUUAUAAUAUAGUAGUAACAUUUUAAGUUAAAAUGUAAAUGCAUACAUAGAUAUCAACCUAUAUAUAGACCAACCUCGAUCGAUCGAUCGAGGGUUAUAGUUUUUUUUUUUUACCUCAUCAUAAUUAGCACAGAAAACUAUGGCUUUGAUUUUACUUUUAAAUGCUUUUAUGUCAUACCCAUUGUUAGUUGUGCACAAAGUGCAUCAUUAGUUUAUGGAAUUUGAUUCUGCUAAUUCCCAAUGUUAUCUUCAGAUGAGCACCAAGCCAAAGAGCCACAAAGGUAUGGGGGAUGGGGAGUGGAUGGCAAGGCUUAAGGCAUUUGCCAGCACUGGGGUUUGGCCUUCCAAUGCAGGGAAUAGACCAGCCCCAAGGCAGAAGAAAUGGCAUGAUAUCUAUCAGAAGAUAGAAAAAUGCCCCAUGCAAGUUCGGGGACAGACCACCCUUUUUGGAGCGUCUGUCACUUGUGACUGUGGCUUUCACACUGUUAAACCUGCACUGCAGCCUCCUUCUGCACCUCCUUCUUUGACCCCACAGUCUGUGGGUUCACAAUCUAAUUCUGGAGAUACAGCAACAGCCACCCGCUGUUUCCUGAGGUCCCCUCCAUCUUUGUCAAGGGCAGUCAGCUGCCUCCACCCAGCCUGCUGCCUCCACCCUGUCUGCUGCCUCCACUCUGUCUGCUCCCUCCACCCAGCCAGCUCCCUCCACCCAGCCAGCUCCCUCCACCCUGUCUGCUGCCUCCACCCAGCCUGGCAUUGCUGAGCCUAUGUCAGAGGGUUUAGAUGAGGCCGGUGUACCAGGCCUGGACAAAGUUGACAGCUUGGCUGAGUAUCUGGUGGAGCUAAGGAGCAAAACCUCACUGGUGCUGACCAACCAGGAGGUGAGCUGCAUUGUUGCUCUGUGGCAGAACCUGCUGGAGUUUGAUAAACAGAGAACGGUAUUUGCUGCAAGACAUCAAGAAAGAUUGAACACUGGGAGGUUUCGGUCCCCCAAGAAGAGGCAAGAAUUUACUCCUGGGGUUGAGAGUGUAAAGAGGCAUGCUCUAACCACUCCAGCCCCAUCUGCCCAAUGGCCAGACUGCUGCCGCUUGGUGGAGACCAUCUUUGUCCGACUGUGCAAUAUCCAUCGUAGUCCAAAGAAAAGAGGAGCAGGCACAGUCUCCAGGUGCAGCCCCUGCUCAACCUGGUAGAGAACCUCGAAAAUUGACUCGCAAAGUUUUGCACAACACAUGCAAAAAAUGCGGGCAGUUUAGAAUAGCUGAAACAGGACACAGCCAAUAUAGAGGGCAAAUUUACUGUCCCUCUAAUGAAAGUCUCACUAAAGAGCAGUGGCUGGAACAAAUUAAAAAGAAAAAAUAAACAUUUUCUUUAUUUUAAAUAACUUCACUGUAUAUAAGUUUUAUUUAGUUCAUAGUGUGUUUAUUUUGUUUUGGGUUAAUGAUACAGAUAUUUAUUCUUAUUGUCAUUGUGUACACAAAGUAAUUCAACAAACCAUACAGUAAAAGGAUUUAAGUCCUUCAGCAAACCACAAAUUUCUUGGUUAAGAAAAAGAAAUGGGAGACUUCAAUGGAAAUGUGUUGCAUCCAAAUGCUACAAUGUUUUGGGACUAACUAAAAAUGUUUAAUUCACUGUCUUAAUUGUUGAAUAAAUAUUUGGUUCUUUUAAACCGAUAAGGUCUAUGGUCUUUUGUGAGUAAAUAUUAGCUGCUUCAAAUUCUGAAUUAUUGGUAAUUUAAGCAUACACUAGAAAAAAGAUAUCAUUCACUUCACUCAAAGUACUUUAGGAAAGACACUUGCAAUUUUAGUUUCAGUCACUGUUUUGUGGGAAAAAUGAAAAUAAGCACUGGGUAUGAUUAAGGACAUUAAAAUAUACAUCAAGUAUAUAGUAUACAGUAUAAUUUAACACAUUAAUUUGAAUAUAUCAGAAUAAAAAAGCAAAAUUAAUUAAGCAAUUCAAAGUUUUAAAAAGAAAGCCUUUUAUGACAAGUGUUGGGUUUUAGUUUACAGUACUACACUAUCUGUACAAAAAAGCAUUUAAAAUGUUUUCAAGAUACAAAAAAACAGCCGUUACUUCAUAACACUUAAACAUUAAUUGUGGGAAAUCUUUUCACUAAAACAUAGUAUGGCGACUGGUGGGAUCGAACUCGCGACUCUGGGAUCGGCCUCACUCUUCCCCUUUCUUCUCCCCUCCCUUUCUUC
Xiphophorus maculatus (southern platyfish) is the source of this 3192-nucleotide RNA transcript. RefSeq lists it as uncharacterized. The record is from RefSeq and is a predicted model, not a curated record. Lineage: Eukaryota; Metazoa; Chordata; Actinopteri; Cyprinodontiformes; Poeciliidae. The transcript is spliced from 6 exons.